GUGUCAGCAGCCGCGGUAAUACGAAGGGGGCUAGCGUUGUUCGGAAUUACUGGGCGUAAAGGGCGCGUAGGCGGUCCUGAUCGUCGGAUGUGAAAGGCCUGGGCUCAACCUGGGAACUGCAUCCGAUACGGCGGGACUGGAGUGUGGGAGAGGUUGGUGGAAUUCCCAGUGUAGAGGUGAAAUUCGUAGAUAUUGGGAAGAACACCGGUGGCGAAGGCGGCCAACUGGACCACAACUGACGCUGAGGCGCGAAAGCGUGGGGAGCAAACAGGAUUAGAUACCCUGGUAGUCCACGCUGUAAACGAUGCGUGCUAGACGUUGGGAGACCUAGUCUCUCGGUGUCGUCGCUAACGCUUUAAGCACGCCGCCUGGGGAGUACGGCCGCAAGGUUAAA
This 394-nucleotide ribosomal RNA is filed under the name uncultured bacterium. RNAcentral describes it as "bacterial SSU rRNA". It matches the Rfam family "Bacterial small subunit ribosomal RNA", at positions 505 to 898 of the family's 1533-position model. The record is from RNAcentral.